Molecule: ribosomal RNA, 408 nt
Filed under: uncultured beta proteobacterium
Lineage: Bacteria; Pseudomonadati; Pseudomonadota; Betaproteobacteria
Description: bacterial SSU rRNA
Rfam family: Bacterial small subunit ribosomal RNA
Source: RNAcentral
AGAGUUUGAUCCUGGCUCAGAUUGAACGCUGGCGGCAUGCUUUACACAUGCAAGUCGAACGGGGUUAAGGGGCUUGCUCCUUAAUCUAGUGGCGAACGGGUGAGUAAUGCAUCGGAACGUACCCGGGAGUGGGGGAUAACGCACCGAAAGGUGUGCUAAUACCGCAUAUUCUGUGAGCAGGAAAGCAGGGGACCUUAGGGCCUUGUGCUUCCGGAGCGGCCGAUGUCGGAUUAGCUAGUUGGUGAGGUAAAGGCUCACCAAGGCGACGAUCCGUAGCGGGUCUGAGAGGAUGAUCCGCCACACUGGGACUGAGACACGGCCCAGACUCCUACGGGAGGCAGCAGUGGGGAAUUUUGGACAAUGGGCGCAAGCCUGAUCCAGCCAUGCCGCGUGUCUGAAGAAGGCCUU